UCUACUGCUAGCUAGCACUGCAAUGCAAAACAUGUGGUGAGUAGUUGAUUCAAAAAGAGAAAGACUAUAGUUGAACAGUUUUGAUUAAUUUCUUCCAAAAUUAAGAAGCAAGAGAGAGAGAGCUACUGUAUAUUUCGUAGUACAUUUGAUUUCACUUUCACCUAGCUAGCAUCUGGCUCAAACAGAGAGGGAUGCUAUGUUAGCUAGCAGAAUAUACAACACUGGAACUUUUCCAAGUCGAGACCAACAGGAGUGCAUCCCUCAGACCAUCUGGUGCAUGGACAUCCUGUGCCAGUUUGAUCCAGUUGUGGAGACGACAGUACAUCGAGCCUGUGGACGAACAGUGCCAACUUUGGGAGCAUGUGGUCCUUGAAAAACUCUGGUGACGGAGGCUUUGGUGGUCCACACAAUGAAUAAGCAAGUGUCCUUUCCAGUGAUGUGGAGCUGCCCUUAACCUGCUGCCAGUAAGGAUGGUAUUCACGGAGGUUGUAAGACCCUCCCUUCUGGAUAUAGAAAUCCUUCGACUUCACUGCCUCUUCAAUGUUAAUGAUUGUAUAAUUGAUUAAGUGUCUAUUUCCUUGUAGGAUGUUGACAGCCUUUUAGAAAAAUGUUUAUUGUAAAGAUGCUCAAACUUAACUUAAACAUUUUCGGCUAAAAUUAUAUACCCAAAACUAAUUGCCUGUAGCUUAGGCCCUGAAGCAAGGAUAAGCAUAUUCUUGGCACCAUUUGAAAGGAAACACUGACGUUUGUGAAAAUGUGAAAGGAAUGUAGGAGAAUAUAACACUAUAGAUCCGGUAAAAGAUAAUACAAAGAAAAAAACAAAAGGUCUUUUGUAUUUAUUUUGUACCAUCAUCUUUGAAAUGCAAGAGAAAUGCCAUAAUGUAUUAUUCCAGCCCAGGUGCAAUUUAGAUUUUGACCACUAGAUGGUAGCAGUGUAUGUACAACGUUUUAGACUGA
Molecule: long non-coding RNA, 957 nt
Organism: Oncorhynchus nerka (sockeye salmon)
Lineage: Eukaryota; Metazoa; Chordata; Actinopteri; Salmoniformes; Salmonidae
Exons: 3
Source: RefSeq, a predicted model, not a curated record